RNAcentral lists this ribosomal RNA (184 nucleotides) under Klebsiella pneumoniae. Its description in RNAcentral is "partial 16S ribosomal RNA". It matches the Rfam family "Bacterial small subunit ribosomal RNA", at positions 1 to 176 of the family's 1533-position model. Lineage: Bacteria; Pseudomonadati; Pseudomonadota; Gammaproteobacteria; Enterobacterales; Enterobacteriaceae. The record is from RNAcentral.
ACUUAAAUUGAAGAGUUUGAUCAUGGCUCAGAUUGAACGCUGGCGGCAGGCCUAACACAUGCAAGUCGAGCGGUAGCACAGAGAGCUUGCUCUCGGGUGACGAGCGGCGGACGGGUGAGUAAUGUCUGGGAAACUGCCUGACUGAGGGUCAUAACUACUGGAAACGGUAGCUAAUACCGCAUAA